RNAcentral lists this ribosomal RNA (1581 nucleotides) under Salmonella enterica subsp. enterica serovar Bareilly str. CFSAN000181. RNAcentral's name for it is "bacterial LSU rRNA". It matches the Rfam family "Bacterial large subunit ribosomal RNA", at positions 1260 to 2824 of the family's 2925-position model. Lineage: Bacteria; Pseudomonadati; Pseudomonadota; Gammaproteobacteria; Enterobacterales; Enterobacteriaceae. The record is from RNAcentral.
CCUGUGAGGGUUGCUGGAGGUAUCAGAAGUGCGAAUGCUGACAUAAGUAACGAUAAAGCGGGUGAAAAGCCCGCUCGCCGGAAGACCAAGGGUUCCUGUCCAACGUUAAUCGGGGCAGGGUGAGUCGACCCCUAAGGCGAGGCCGAAAGGCGUAGUCGAUGGGAAACGGGUUAAUAUUCCCGUACUUGGUGUUACUGCGAAGGGGGGACGGAGAAGGCUAUGUUGGCCGGGCGACGGUUGUCCCGGUUUAAGCGUGUAGGUGUGUGUUCCAGGUAAAUCCGGUUCACUUUAACACUGAGGCGUGAUGACGAGGCACUACGGUGCUGAAGCAACAAAUGCCCUGCUUCCAGGAAAAGCCUCUAAGCAUCAGGUAACAUCAAAUCGUACCCCAAACCGACACAGGUGGUCAGGUAGAGAAUACCAAGGCGCUUGAGAGAACUCGGGUGAAGGAACUAGGCAAAAUGGUGCCGUAACUUCGGGAGAAGGCACGCUGACACGUAGGUGAAGUGAUUUACUCACGGAGCUGAAGUCAGUCGAAGAUACCAGCUGGCUGCAACUGUUUAUUAAAAACACAGCACUGUGCAAACACGAAAGUGGACGUAUACGGUGUGACGCCUGCCCGGUGCCGGAAGGUUAAUUGAUGGGGUCAGCGCAAGCGAAGCUCCUGAUCGAAGCCCCGGUAAACGGCGGCCGUAACUAUAACGGUCCUAAGGUAGCGAAAUUCCUUGUCGGGUAAGUUCCGACCUGCACGAAUGGCGUAAUGAUGGCCAGGCUGUCUCCACCCGAGACUCAGUGAAAUUGAACUCGCUGUGAAGAUGCAGUGUACCCGCGGCAAGACGGAAAGACCCCGUGAACCUUUACUAUAGCUUGACACUGAACAUUGAGCCUUGAUGUGUAGGAUAGGUGGGAGGCUUUGAAGCGUGGACGCCAGUCUGCGUGGAGCCGACCUUGAAAUACCACCCUUUAAUGUUUGAUGUUCUAACGUGGACCCGUAAUCCGGGUUGCGGACAGUGUCUGGUGGGUAGUUUGACUGGGGCGGUCUCCUCCUAAAGAGUAACGGAGGAGCACGAAGGUUGGCUAAUCCUGGUCGGACAUCAGGAGGUUAGUGCAAUGGCAUAAGCCAGCUUGACUGCGAGCGUGACGGCGCGAGCAGGUGCGAAAGCAGGUCAUAGUGAUCCGGUGGUUCUGAAUGGAAGGGCCAUCGCUCAACGGAUAAAAGGUACUCCGGGGAUAACAGGCUGAUACCGCCCAAGAGUUCAUAUCGACGGCGGUGUUUGGCACCUCGAUGUCGGCUCAUCACAUCCUGGGGCUGAAGUAGGUCCCAAGGGUAUGGCUGUUCGCCAUUUAAAGUGGUACGCGAGCUGGGUUUAGAACGUCGUGAGACAGUUCGGUCCCUAUCUGCCGUGGGCGCUGGAGAACUGAGGGGGGCUGCUCCUAGUACGAGAGGACCGGAGUGGACGCAUCACUGGUGUUCGGGUUGUCAUGCCAAUGGCACUGCCCGGUAGCUAAAUGCGGAAGAGAUAAGUGCUGAAAGCAUCUAAGCACGAAACUUGCCCCGAGAUGAGUUCUCCCUGAGACUUA